CCUACGGGCGGCAGCAGUAGGGAAUAUUGCACAAUGGGGGAAACCCUGAAGCAGCAACGCCGCGUGGGGGAUGAAGGUUUUCGGCUCGUAAACUCCUUUUGUUAGAGAAGAUAAUGACGGUAUCUAACGAAUAAGCACCGGCUAACUCCGUGCCAGCAGCCGCGGUAAUACGGAGGGUGCAAGCGUUACUCGGAAUCACUGGGCGUAAAGAGCGCGCAGGCGGGAUAGCAAGCCAGAUAUGAAAUCCUAUGGCUUAACCCUAGGACUGCAUUUGAAACUGUUAGGCUAGAGUAUGGGAGAGGUAGGUGGAAUUCUUGGUGUAGGGGUAAAAUCCGUAGAGAUCAAGAGGAAUACUCAUUGCGAAGGCGACCUGCUAGAACAUAACUGACGCUGAUGCGCGAAGGCGUGGGGAGCAAACAGGAUUAGAUACCCGUGUAGUC
Molecule: ribosomal RNA, 440 nt
Filed under: uncultured bacterium
Lineage: Bacteria
Description: partial 16S ribosomal RNA
Rfam family: Bacterial small subunit ribosomal RNA
Source: RNAcentral